This 334-nucleotide unclassified non-coding RNA is filed under the name soil metagenome. RNAcentral's name for it is "partial contains 5.8S ribosomal RNA, internal transcribed spacer 2, and large subunit ribosomal RNA". The stretch from base 1 to 120 matches the Rfam family "5.8S ribosomal RNA", at positions 35 to 154 of the family's 154-position model. The record is from RNAcentral.
GAUGAAGAACGCAGCGAAAUGCGAUAAGUAAUGUGAAUUGCAGAAUUCAGUGAAUCAUCGAAUCUUUGAACGCACAUUGCGCCCGCCAGUAUUCUGGCGGGCAUGCCUGUUCGAGCGUCAUUUCAACCAUCAAGCCCUGCUUGCGUUGGGGUCCUGCGGCUGCCCGCAGGCCCUGAAAACCAGUGGCGGGCUCGCUAGUCACACCGAGCGCAGUAAUACAUCUCGCUUUGGGCGUGCGGCGGGUUCUUGCCGUUAAACACCCCCUUUUUACCAAGGUUGACCUCGGAUCAGGUAGGAGUACCCACUGAACUUAAGCAUAUCAAUAAGCGGAGGA